RNAcentral lists this ribosomal RNA (1505 nucleotides) under metagenome. Its description in RNAcentral is "bacterial LSU rRNA". It matches the Rfam family "Bacterial large subunit ribosomal RNA", at positions 1431 to 2925 of the family's 2925-position model. The record is from RNAcentral.
UAAAAUUCCAGUACCUUUAUUCAAUGCGAUGUGGGGACGAAGUAGGUUAGCUUGGCCAGGUGUUGGAUGUCCUGGUUUAGGUAUGUAGGUGUGUUGCUUAGGUAAAUCCGAGCAAUGUAGCUGAGAUAUGAUGACGCAACACUCUUCGGAGUGCCAAGUAAGUAAUACCAAACUUCCAGGAAAAGCCACUAAGCUUCAGUUGAAUAAAGACCGUACCGCAAACCAACACAGGUGGGUAGGAUGAAAAUUCUAAGGCGCUUGAGAGAACUCAGGAGAAGGAACUCGGCAAAAUUGCACCGUAACUUCGGAAUAAGGUGUGCCUUUGGUAUGUGUAAUGCCUUGCGCAUGAAGCAGAAAAAGGUUGCAAAAAAUAGGUGGCUGCGACUGUUUAAUAAAAACAUAGCACUCUGCAAACACGUAAGUGGACGUAUAGAGUGUGACGCCUGCCCGGUGCCGGAAGGUUAAAUGAUGGGGUGAGAGCUCUUGAUUGAAGCCCCGGUAAACGGCGGCCGUAACGAUAACGGUCCUAAGGUAGCGAAAUUCCUUGUCGGGUAAGUUCCGACCUGCACGAAUGGCGUAACGAUGGCCACGCUGUCUCCUCCUGGGACUCAGCGAAUUUGAAAUGUUUGUGAAGAUGCAAUCUUCCCGCGGCUAGACGGAAAGACCCCGUGCACCUUUACUGUAGCUUUACAUUGGAUUUUGAUAACAUCUGUGUAGAAUAGGUGGGAGACUUUGAAGUGGAUUCGCUAGAAUUCAUGGAGUCAUCGUUGAAAUACCACCCUGAUGUUGUCGGGAUUCUAACCUAAAUCCAUUAUCUGGAUUGGGGACCGUGUAUGGUAGGCAGUUUGACUGGGGCGGUCUCCUCCCAAAUUGUAACGGAGGAGCACGAAGGUACGCUAGGUACGGUCGGAAAUCGUGCUAAUAGUGCAAUGGCAAAAGCGUGCUUAACUGCGAGACUGACAAGUCGAGCAGAUGCGAAAGCAGGUCAUAGUGAUCCGGUGGUUCUGUAUGGAAGGGCCAUCGCUCAACGGAUAAAAGGUACGCCGGAGAUAACAGGCUGAUUCCUCCCAAGAGUUCAUAUCGACGGGGGAGUUUGGCACCUCGAUGUCGGCUCAUCACAUCCUGGGGCUGUAGCCGGUCCCAAGGGUAUGGCUGUUCGCCAUUUAAAGUGGUGCGUGAGCUGGGUUUAAAACGUCGUGAGACAGUUUGGUCCCUAUCUGCCGUGGGCGUUGGAAGUUUGAGUGGGGCUGCUUCUAGUACGAGAGGACCGAAGUGGACGCACCUCUGGUGUACCGGUUAUAACGCCAGUUGUAUUGCCGGGUAGCUAAGUGCGGGAAAGAUAACCGCUGAAAGCAUCUAAGCGGGAAACUUGCCACAAGAUAAGACUUCCCGAGGAUUUAAUCCUCCUAAAGGUUCGUUGAAGACUACAACGUUGAUAGGUCGAAUGUGUAAGCGUAGUAAUAUGUUCAGCUAAUCGAUACUAAUUGACCGUGCGGCUUGAUCCU